CUACGGGCCGCUGCAGUGAGGAAUAUUGCACAAUGGAGGAAACUCUGAUGCAGCAACGCCGCGUGGAGGAUGACGCAUUUCGGUGUGUAAACUCCUUUUAUAUGUCAAGAAAAUGACGGUAGCAUAUGAAUAAGCACCGGCUAACUCCGUGCCAGCAGCCGCGGUAAUACGGAGGGUGCAAGCGUUACUCGGAAUCACUGGGCGUAAAGGACGCGUAGGCGGGUUGGAAAGUCAGGUGUGAAAUCCUACAGCUUAACUGUAGAACUGCACUUGAAACUUCUAAUCUAGAGUAUGGGAGGGGGAGAUGGAAUUAGUGGUGUAGGGGUAAAAUCCGUAGAUAUCACUAGGAAUACCUAAAGCGAAGGCGAUCUCCUGGAACAUUACUGACGCUAAGGCGUGAAAGCGUGGGGAGCAAACAGGAUUAGAUACCCGCGUAGUC
Molecule: ribosomal RNA, 439 nt
Filed under: uncultured bacterium
Lineage: Bacteria
Description: partial 16S ribosomal RNA
Rfam family: Bacterial small subunit ribosomal RNA
Source: RNAcentral